RNAcentral lists this ribosomal RNA (458 nucleotides) under uncultured bacterium. RNAcentral describes it as "bacterial SSU rRNA". It matches the Rfam family "Bacterial small subunit ribosomal RNA", at positions 328 to 801 of the family's 1533-position model. The record is from RNAcentral.
UCUGUGAACUCCUACGGGAGGCAGCAGUGGGGAAUAUUGGACAAUGGGCGCAAGCCUGAUCCAGCAAUGCCGCGUGAGUGAUGAAGGCCUUAGGGUUGUAAAGCUCUUUUACCCGGGAAGAUAAUGACUGUACCGGGAGAAUAAGCCCCGGCUAACUCCGUGCCAGCAGCCGCGGUAAUACGGAGGGGGCUAGCGUUGUUCGGAAUUACUGGGCGUAAAGCGCACGUAGGCGGCUUUGUAAGUCAGGGGUGAAAGCCUGGAGCUCAACUCCAGAACUGCCUUUGAGACUGCAUCGCUUGAAUCCGGGAGAGGUGAGUGGAAUUCCGAGUGUAGAGGUGAAAUUCGUAGAUAUUCGGAAGAACACCAGUGGCGAAGGCGGCUCACUGGACCGGUAUUGACGCUGAGGUGCGAAAGCGUGGGGAGCAAACAGGAUUAGAUACCCGAGUAGUCCAUCAGCG